ACGGGUGAGUAACACGUGAGUAACCUGCCCUUGACUCUGGGAUAAGCCUGGGAAACUGGGUCUAAUACCGGAUACGACCGCUCCACGCAUGUGGUGGUGGUGGAAAGCUUUUGCGGUUUUGGAUGGACUCGCGGCCUAUCAGCUUGUUGGUGGGGUAAUGGCCUACCAAGGCGACGACGGGUAGCCGGCCUGAGAGGGUGACCGGCCACACUGGGACUGAGACACGGCCCAGACUCCUACGGGAGGCAGCAGUGGGGAAUAUUGCACAAUGGGCGGAAGCCUGAUGCAGCGACGCCGCGUGAGGGAUGACGGCCUUCGGGUUGUAAACCUCUUUCAGUAGGGAAGAAGCGUAAGUGACGGUACCUGCAGAAGAAGCGCCGGCUAACUACGUGCCAGCAGCCGCGGUAAUACGUAGGGCGCAAGCGUUAUCCGGAAUUAUUGGGCGUAAAGAGCUCGUAGGCGGUUUGUCGCGUCUGCUGUGAAAGACCGGGGCUCAACUCCGGUUCUGCAGUGGGUACGGGCAGACUAGAGUGAUGUAGGGGAGACUGGAAUUCCUGGUGUAGCGGUGAAAUGCGCAGA
This 579-nucleotide ribosomal RNA is filed under the name Arthrobacter sp. HRRK196. Its description in RNAcentral is "bacterial SSU rRNA". It matches the Rfam family "Bacterial small subunit ribosomal RNA", at positions 102 to 694 of the family's 1533-position model. The record is from RNAcentral. Lineage: Bacteria; Bacillati; Actinomycetota; Actinomycetes; Micrococcales; Micrococcaceae.